Cyprinus carpio carpio is the source of this 378-nucleotide long non-coding RNA. Lineage: Eukaryota; Metazoa; Chordata; Actinopteri; Cypriniformes; Cyprinidae. The record is from Ensembl.
AUGACCUUCAGAUGUGUUCAGGCCAAGACUCUUUUUCGAACAUGUGAAGUUUGGGGAAGAUCGGACAUCUUAUGCCUGAGUUACAACAACUUCUAUUCCCAUGGCGAGACAUCGAACUUUGUCACGGCGCCAUGGCCACACCCUUUAAUGAAACCUCAAGAUGUUCACAAUUUAAACUUCACAUGUUUAAGACCCUCUGGGCCUUCCAGAAAUGGACGUGACAUUAUGGAACGCCAAACGGUUCACAUUUCACCAUUUACCAGACGCCUGGUGUGCAGAAAAUUAAAAAGUAUUUUAAUUAUUAUUUAAAAUACGGCGUUUUGUAGUACAGACGGUGUAAAUUACGGCGUUUUCACAGCAGAACCGCCGUUAAUAUCG